UUCCAGCUCCAAUAGCGUAUAUUAAAGUUGUUGCAGUUAAAAAGCUCGUAGUUGGAUUUGUGGUUGGGUCCGUUGGUCCGGCACAUUGUGCGGGUACUUGAUGGACUCGUCCAUCCUUGGGUGGAAUCUGUGUGGCAUUAAGUUGUCGUGCAGGGGAUGCCCAUCGUUUACUGUGAAAAAAUUAGAGUGUUCAAAGCAGGCUUAUGCCGUUGAAUAUAUUAGCAUGGAAUAAUGAGAUAGGACCUUGGUACUAUUUUGUUGGUUUGCGCACCGAGGUAAUGAUUAAUAGGGGCAGUUGGGGGUAUUCGUAUUCCAUUGUCAGAGGUGAAAUUCUUGGAUUUUUGGAAGACGAACUACUGCGAAAGCAUUUACCAAGGAUGUUUUCAUCA
RNAcentral lists this ribosomal RNA (389 nucleotides) under Grammonema sp. RNAcentral's name for it is "partial small subunit ribosomal RNA". It matches the Rfam family "Eukaryotic small subunit ribosomal RNA", at positions 583 to 975 of the family's 1831-position model. The record is from RNAcentral. Lineage: Eukaryota; Bacillariophyta; Fragilariophyceae; Fragilariales; Fragilariaceae.